UGCAAUUAUAUGAUCUUAAUCGUAUCCGGUCAUAUACACGUAUAGACACAAGCUGUGCUUGUACAUGCGUAUAAGUAUCGGAAAUUAAACUUCUUUUCUUCAGUAGUAAUUAACGUAUAUUUAUGCAUUAUCUUACAAAUAGAAAUCAGGACGCACAUGUUAACUUAUGUGACCUCUGUAUCAUUAAAUCAAAUUAAACUUGUAAUUCUGUUAUAUUUUACAUGAUUUGUUUUAUAAUUAUAGUCGAACAGGCUAGAAUAGAUGGGAAUAAACAACUGUAUUUAUUUCUUGACCGCUGUUUUAUUUUAUCAAUACCCGGAAAGAUAAAAUUCGACCUUGGUGGGAUUUGAACUCAAAACGUAAAGGGACACAACUAUAUAAUCACAGUGAUAUUGCUGCAGUGUGUUUGCAGAAGGAAAUUUUCUAGAAGUUGAUUCCAAUGGAAUUUGAACACAGAACUAAAUACCACAAUCUUUCUGUCAAUUGAUUGUGUUACUCACAUCCUCAUAAUAAUUAUGGUAAUGAUUUCUAACAAAUCCACAAGACCUCAAAUUUUGUAUGGGCACCAAUUAUAGAAAGCUGAAGAAAUUUUCUUCUAAAAGACAGAUUAAUUUACAAGAUGCGGUGCUUAUUCUGAAACUUCUUCAUCAAUUGAAUCAACUAUUGGACUGUAUCUUAUCACCACAACUCUAAAAGGAUGAAAGAUCAAGUUACAUCCAUUCCUCCUGCUAAUAAUAAAACUUGCAGAUUUGAUAUGUAUGUUGUACUAUAGACUGUCUACAACAGUCUCAUAAUCAUAUAAAAAUCUGAGAUAGGUAAAAUUUUACAAGAAAUUUUGUAUAUGUCUUGUUUUCUGACAGAAUAAUGUCUGAAAUUUGUGUCAUUGCAAGAGGUGUGAAAACUGUUUACAAGUGGAAAAUCAGGGAAUUUUUGAUAUUGUUUUGCUGUUACUCUUCACUCGUUUAUUAAAAAAAAAUUAUAAAUUAAAAAAAAAAUAAAAUAAAUAUAUUUUUUCCAAUC
Octopus sinensis (East Asian common octopus) is the source of this 1020-nucleotide long non-coding RNA. RefSeq lists it as uncharacterized. Lineage: Eukaryota; Metazoa; Mollusca; Cephalopoda; Octopoda; Octopodidae. The transcript has 2 exons. The record is from RefSeq and is a predicted model, not a curated record.